GACGAACGCUGGCGGCGUGCCUAAUACAUGCAAGUUGAGCGCUGAAGGUUGGUACUUGUACCAACUGGAUGAGCAGCGAACGGGUGAGUAACGCGUGGGGAAUCUGCCUUUGAGCGGGGGACAACAUUUGGAAACGAAUGCUAAUACCGCAUAAAAACUUUAAACACAAGUUUUAAGUUUGAAAGAUGCAAUUGCAUCACUCAAAGAUGAUCCCGCGUUGUAUUAGCUAGUUGGUGAGGUAAAGGCUCACCAAGGCGAUGAUACAUAGCCGACCUGAGAGGGUGAUCGGCCACAUUGGGACUGAGACACGGCCCAAACUCCUACGGGAGGCAGCAGUAGGGAAUCUUCGGCAAUGGACGAAAGUCUGACCGAGCAACGCCGCGUGAGUGAAGAAGGUUUUCGGAUCGUAAAACUCUGUUGGCAGAGAAGAACGUUGGUGAGAGUGGAAAGCUCAUCAAGUGACGGUAACUACCCAGAAAGGGACGGCUAACUACGUG
RNAcentral lists this ribosomal RNA (497 nucleotides) under uncultured bacterium. Its description in RNAcentral is "partial 16S ribosomal RNA". It matches the Rfam family "Bacterial small subunit ribosomal RNA", at positions 28 to 507 of the family's 1533-position model. The record is from RNAcentral.